Molecule: ribosomal RNA, 244 nt
Filed under: uncultured bacterium
Lineage: Bacteria
Description: partial 16S ribosomal RNA
Rfam family: Bacterial small subunit ribosomal RNA
Source: RNAcentral
GUGACUUGGAGCGAAUCUCAGAAAUAACGUCUCAGUUCGGAUUGUAGUCUGCAACUCGACUACAUGAAGCUGGAAUCGCUAGUAAUCGCGGAUCAGCAUGCCGCGGUGAAUACGUUCCCGGGCCUUGUACACACCGCCCGUCACACCAUGAGAGUCGGGAACACCCGAAGUCCGUAGCCUAACCGCAAGGGGGGCGCGGCCGAAGGUGGGUUCGAUAAUUGGGGUGAAGUCGUAACAAGGUAGC